UACGGAGGGGGCUAGCGUUGUUCGGAAUUACUGGGCGUAAAGCGCGCGUAGGCGGCUUUCCAAGUCAGGGGUGAAAUCCCGGGGCUCAACUCCGGAACUGCCCUUGAAACUGGAUCGCUAGAAUCUUGGAGAGGUGAGUGGAAUUCCGAGUGAAGAGGUGAAAUUCGUAGAUAUUCGGAAGAACACCAGUGGCGAAGGCGACUCACUGGACAAGUAUUGACGUUGAGGUGCGAAAGCGUGGGGAGCAAACAGG
Molecule: unclassified non-coding RNA, 253 nt
Filed under: uncultured Sphingomonadaceae bacterium
Lineage: Bacteria; Pseudomonadati; Pseudomonadota; Alphaproteobacteria; Sphingomonadales; Sphingomonadaceae
Description: contains 16S-23S intergenic spacer region
Rfam family: Bacterial small subunit ribosomal RNA
Source: RNAcentral